UUUUUUUUUUCCAUAUUUGAAUGGACUUAAGGUAAAGACUGACAUCUCUAGAAGAUGAUUCUAGGAUAACACGGGAGAAAGAGGGCACAAUAUGAUACUAGAGCUUUCUGUUUUUUCAUGUAUUCAAUCUAUGAUGUUUGAUCAAUCCUAGAAAACCUUGAAAGUUAUAUGAUGUUUGGUUAUCUUUUAUGGCUUUGUUUUCUGCAAAUAUUUGGGGAGAGAUUGGCUGAUAUUUUUUUUUCCAAAAAGGGACAACUGUAGUUAAACUCUCUGUCUGUAUAAUGUACACAAUGAAAGAGAGAGAGAUGUAUAGAUAUAGAGAGAGAAAAGAGAGAUGCAGAGAGAAAGAAAGAGAGCAGUGUACUGGAGGGACCUGAUUAGGGCUUUUGUGGAAAUGAAAAGAGAUUGACAGUAGGAUAGAGGUG
This 425-nucleotide long non-coding RNA is filed under the name Olea europaea (common olive). RNAcentral's name for it is "long non-coding RNA (OEUR_LNC008217)". The record is from RNAcentral. Lineage: Eukaryota; Viridiplantae; Streptophyta; Magnoliopsida; Lamiales; Oleaceae.